This 435-nucleotide ribosomal RNA is filed under the name uncultured bacterium. Its description in RNAcentral is "partial 16S ribosomal RNA". It matches the Rfam family "Bacterial small subunit ribosomal RNA", at positions 28 to 507 of the family's 1533-position model. The record is from RNAcentral.
GAUGAACGCUGGCGGUAUGCUUAACACAUGCAAGUCGAACGGACUCUUCGGAGUUAGUUGCGGAAGGGUGAGUAACGAGUGAGAAUCUGGCUUUGGGUUCGGGACAACCACUGGCAACGGUGGCUAAUACCGGUUGUGCUGAGAGGUAAUAGAGACAUUGCCUGAAGAUGAGCUCGCGUCUGAUUAGUUAGUUGGUGAGGUAAAGGCUCACCAAGGCAGCGAUCAGUAGCUGGUCAGAGUGGAUGACCAGCCACACAGGGACUGAGACACGGCCCAGACUCCUACGGGAGGCAGGGGGGGGGAAUUAUCCGCAAUGGGCGAAAGCCGGACGGAGCAAUAGCGCGGGAGGGAAGAAGGCGCGUGGGUAGUAAACCUCGUUUCUGAGGGAGGAACAAAGUGACGGUACCUAAGGAAGCAGCAUCGGCUAACUCCGUG